This 1084-nucleotide long non-coding RNA is filed under the name Ananas comosus (pineapple). RNAcentral describes it as "long non-coding RNA (ACOM_LNC000164)". Lineage: Eukaryota; Viridiplantae; Streptophyta; Magnoliopsida; Poales; Bromeliaceae. The record is from RNAcentral.
CCAAUAAACAACACAAAUCACCGACCCUGUUCAUAUGGCCUCCAUGCUCCUAAGCCGUUUUCAAUGAUUGAGACUUCCGAAUCGACGAUCAGCUCUGUUAGACUUGAUCUGGCGUAUUUGAAGUAUUUAGAAAAUAAAUUUUGUAAUUCUUUGAUAUAAUUUAUCUAUUGAUCGAAAGAGUUCAAAGUCAACAAUUUUAAUGGUUGAUGUGUGCCGUUUAGAUGUUUAUAAACGAUAUAGGAGUAUUCAAAUCAGAUGCAAUUUGGAUAGAAAUUUUUUUAUAUAAUUUACAGCAAGGUCAAUAUCUCUGAUAAAAAAUUUUAGUGCUACAUCAUAAUUUUUGUGAGAUUUUUAUUUUAGCUAUUCAUUUUCAAUUCUUUCGAUCGUUGGGUAAAUAAUAUUAAAAAAUCGUAAAAUUUAUUUUCUAGAUAUUUCAAAUAUACUAAAUCAAGUCUAGCGGAACUGAUCGUCGAUUCAGAAAUUUAAUCAUCGAAAACAACUUAGGAGUACGGAGGCCUUCGUACUCCUAACAGCACACAAGUCCCACUAUAUAUAUACACCCGCACACAGAACGCUCUAGGUUUUCAUAAUAUUUAUAGUAUCGGAACUUCUUUCAAUUUUAGAAUGUUCAAAUUAACAACUCACACCUCUACGAUAUUUGAAGUUCUUAGAAAUAAAAUUUUAUAUUUUUUCGACAUGGUUUACUUUAUGAUCAAACUAUUUCAAAGUUAUCAAUUAUCAAUUGCUACUAUGGUGAGUUUAUUGUCUAACAGUGUAAAAGAAUUUAAAUUUAUUUAAAUUUUGAUAAAAAAUAUUUUAAACUAUUUAGAUCAAUAUCGGUAUCUUUGAUCUUGGAUUCAAAAAUCCUAUCCUCAAAUUUUAAAGAUUAUUCAAUUUUUACCGUUUAUUUUGAUAUAAUUUACUUAUUUAUUCCUAAAAACUUCAUAUAUUCGAAAUCAUAUUUAAAAAUGUGGAUUAUUGAUUUGAAUACCUUAAGAUUGAAAGGGAGAUUAUAGUACCGGAGCUCUCAUACUAUAAAUAGUACAUUAGUUAUAUCCGAUCACUAGAAUAACUUGCAUCAUUA